This is a long non-coding RNA of Pelusios castaneus (West African mud turtle), 539 nucleotides long. The record is from Ensembl. NCBI's taxonomy places the organism in Eukaryota, Metazoa, Chordata, Testudines, Pelomedusidae.
CAGCCUUCCUGGGUGAAAUAAACUUCCCGUCAUCCUCUGUAAGAGUUCCUGCCUUCUGGUCAAUAACUCAACCGUCUGCCAAGAGGCAGGUUUAUAAUUCUCCUGUUACUGAUCUGCCCUCUCCCUGUGGCUGCAGAAACAGACAGAGGCCAAGAGAGAGAAGAUCAUUCAGGAGUGGAAGGAGCUGCGGGGGUUUCUGGAGGAACAGGAGGAGAUCCUGCUGUCCUGGCUGGAGGAGCUAGAGAGAGCCAUUGUCAGGAGAAGGGACGAGGGCCUCUCCAAAGUGUCCCGAGAGAUUUCCCUGCUCAGGGAGAGGGCAGGAGAGAAGGGGCAACAGCCACUGAGCCGAUCCCUGCAGGGUGCUGGAAGCACUGGGAACAGGCCUACCAGUGUGAAUCCACCAGAGUACGUGCUGAAUUUAAAGCAUGUGAGCAAUCACCUUGAAUCUCUAAGGAUUUGAGAUUGCCAGAACGGGAGUUGCUUCAGCCAUUCCAUCACGGCCAACUCCCAAUAAAUUUGGACUCCUUUUCCAUUCCUGU